Molecule: ribosomal RNA, 440 nt
Filed under: uncultured bacterium
Lineage: Bacteria
Description: partial 16S ribosomal RNA
Rfam family: Bacterial small subunit ribosomal RNA
Source: RNAcentral
CCUACGGGAGGCAGCAGUGGGGGAUAUUGCACAAUGGGGGAAACCCUGAUGCAGCGACGCCGCGUGAGUGAAGAAGUAUUUCGGUAUGUAAAGCUCUAUCAGCAGGGAAGAAAAAGAUGGUAGUACCGUAAUAAGAAGCGGCGAAUGACGAUAUAGCAGCCGCGGCAAUACGGAGGGGGGAAGGGUUAUCAGGAUUUAUUGGGUGGAAAGGGAGCGUAGACGGCAGUGAUAGUAUGGAGUGAAAGGCGGGGGGGCAACCCCCGGACUGCUCUGGUAACUGUGCGGCUGGAGUGCAGGAGAGGUAGGUGGAAUUCCGAGUGUAGCGGUGAAAUGCGUAGAUAUUAGGAGGAACACCAGUGGCGAAGGCGGCUUGCUGGACUGUAACUGACGUUGAGGCUCGAAAGCGUGGGGAGCAAACAGGAUUAGAUACCCGGGUAGUC